AUGAACGCUGGCGGCGUGCCUAAUACAUGCAAGUCGAGCGAACAGACGAGGAGCUUGCUCCUCUGACGUUAGCGGCGGACGGGUGAGUAACACGUGGAUAACCUACCUAUAAGACUGGGAUAACUUCGGGAAACCGGAGCUAAUACCGGAUAAUAUAUUGAACCGCAUGGUUCAAUAGUGAAAGACGGUUUUGCUGUCACUUAUAGAUGGAUCCGCGCCGCAUUAGCUAGUUGGUAAGGUAACGGCUUACCAAGGCGACGAUGCGUAGCCGACCUGAGAGGGUGAUCGGCCACACUGGAACUGAGGCACGGUCCAGACUCCUACGGGAGGCAGCAGUAGGGAAUCUUCCGCAAUGGGCGAAAGCCUGACGGAGCAACGCCGCGUGAGUGAUGAAGGUCUUCGGAUCGUAAAACUCUGUUAUUAGGGAAGAACAAAUGUGUAAGUAACUAUGCACGUCUUGACGGUACCUAAUCAGAAAGCCACGGCUAACUACGU
This 495-nucleotide ribosomal RNA is filed under the name uncultured bacterium. Its description in RNAcentral is "partial 16S ribosomal RNA". It matches the Rfam family "Bacterial small subunit ribosomal RNA", at positions 29 to 506 of the family's 1533-position model. The record is from RNAcentral.